This 460-nucleotide ribosomal RNA is filed under the name uncultured bacterium. Its description in RNAcentral is "partial 16S ribosomal RNA". It matches the Rfam family "Bacterial small subunit ribosomal RNA", at positions 338 to 795 of the family's 1533-position model. The record is from RNAcentral.
CCUACGUGAGGCAGCAGUGAGGAAUAUUGGUCAAUGGGCGCGAGCCUGAACCAGCCAAGUAGCGUGAAGGAUGACUGCCCUACGGGUUGUAAACUUCUUUUAUAAAGGAAUAAAGUGAGGCACGUGUGCCUUUUUGUAUGUACUUUAUGAAUAAGGAUCGGCUAACUCCGUGCCAGCAGCCGCGGGAAUACGGAGGAUCCGAGCGUUAUCCGGAUUUAUUGGGUUUAAAGGGAGCGUAGGUGGGUUGUUAAGUCAGUUGUGAAAGUUUGCGGCUCAACCGUAAAAUUGCAAUUGAUACUGGCAGUCUUGAGUACAGUUGAGGUAGGCGGAAUUCGUGGUGGAGCGGUGAAAUGCUUAGAUAUCACGAAGAACUCCGAUUGCGAAGGCAGCUUACUAACCUGCCACUGACAUUGAUGCUCGAAAGUGUGGGUAUCAAACAGGAUUAGAUACCCGGGUAGUC